AUUGAACGCUGGCGGCAUGCUUUACACAUGCAAGUCGAACGGUAACAGGCCGCAAGGUGCUGACGAGUGGCGCACGGGUGAGUAAUGCAUCGGAACGUGCCCAGUCGUGGGGGAUAACUACUCGAAAGAGUAGCUAAUACCGCAUACGAUCUAUGGAUGAAAGCGGGGGACCGUAAGGCCUCGCGCGAUUGGAGCGGCCGAUGUCAGAUUAGGUAGUUGGUGGGGUAAAGGCUCACCAAGCCAACGAUCUGUAGCUGGUCUGAGAGGACGACCAGCCACACUGGGGCUGAGACACGGCCCAGACUCCUACGGGAGGCAGCAGUGGGGAAUUUUGGACAAUGGGCGCAAGCCUGAUCCAGCAAUGCCGCGUGCAGGAAGAAGGCCUUCGGGUUGUAAACUGCUUUUGUACGGAACGAAACGGCUCUGGUUAAUACCCGGGGCUAAUGACGGUACCGUAAGAAUAAGCACCGGCUAACUACGUG
RNAcentral lists this ribosomal RNA (482 nucleotides) under uncultured bacterium. RNAcentral's name for it is "partial 16S ribosomal RNA". It matches the Rfam family "Bacterial small subunit ribosomal RNA", at positions 30 to 507 of the family's 1533-position model. The record is from RNAcentral.